This 23-nucleotide microRNA is filed under the name Strongyloides ratti. RNAcentral's name for it is "str-miR-7880h-3p". The record is from miRBase by way of RNAcentral. Lineage: Eukaryota; Metazoa; Nematoda; Chromadorea; Rhabditida; Strongyloididae.
UUUGCGACUGUAUCCAAAACCCA